UGUGGGUAGCGGAGAAAUUCCAAACGAACUUGGAGAUAGCUGGUUCUCUCCGAAAUAGCUUUAGGGCUAGCGUCGACAUUUGAGAAUCUUGGAGGUAGAGCACUGUUUGGAUGAGGGGGCCAUCUCGGUUUACUGAUUUCAGAUAAACUCCGAAUGCCAAUGAUUUAUGGUCGGCAGUCAGACUGCGAGUGCUAAGAUCCGUAGUCGAAAGGGAAACAGCCCAGACCACCAGCUAAGGUCCCAAAAUAAUUGUUAAGUGGAAAAGGAUGUGGGGUUGCACAGACAACUAGGAUGUUAGCUUAGAAGCAGCUAUUCAUUCAAAGAGUGCGUAAUAGCUCACUAGUCGAGUGACCCUGCGCCGAAAAUGUACCGGGGCUAAAACAAUUUACCGAAGCUGUGGAUAACACUUUAGUGUUAUGGUAGGAGAGCGUUCUAUGUGUGAAGAAGGUAUACCGUGAGGAGUGCUGGAACGCAUAGAAGUGAGAAUGCCGGUAUGAGUAGCGAAAGAUGGGUGAGAAUCCCAUCCACCGUAAGACUAAGGUUUCCAGGGGAAGGCUCGUCCGCCCUGGGUUAGUCGGGACCUAAGGAGAGACCGAAGGGUGUAUCCGAUGGACAACAGGUUGAUAUUCCUGUACUAGAGUAUGAAGUGAUGGAGGGACGCAGUAGGCUAACUAAAGCGGGCGAUUGGAAGUGCCCGUCUAAGCAGUGAGGUGUGAUAUGAGUCAAAUGCUUGUAUCUGUAACAUUGAGCUGUGAUGGGGAGCGAAGUUAAGUAGCGAAGUUAGUGACGUCACACUGCCGAGAAAAGCUUCUAGCGAUGUAUCAUACUCUACCCGUACCGCAAACCGACACAGGUAGUCGAGGCGAGUAGCCUCAGGUGAGCGAGAGAACUCUCGUUAAGGAACUCGGCAAAAUGACCCCGUAACUUCGGGAGAAGGGGUGCUGGCUUAAAGUCAGCCGCAGUGAAUAGGCCCAAGCAACUGUUUAUCAAAAACACAGCUCUCUGCUAAAUCGUAAGAUGAUGUAUAGGGGGUGACGCCUGCCCGGUGCUGGAAGGUUAAGAGGAGGGUUUAGCGCAAGCGAAGAUCUGAAUUGAAGCCCCAGUAAACGGCGGCCGUAACUAUAACGGUCCUAAGGUAGCGAAAUUCCUUGUCGGGUAAGUUCCGACCCGCACGAAAGGCGUAAUGAUUUGGGCACUGUCUCAACGAGAGACUCGGUGAAAUUUUAGUACCUGUGAAGAUGCAGGUUACCCGCGACAGGACGGAAAGACCCCAUGGAGCUUUACUGCAGUUUGAUAUUGAGUAUCUGUACCACAUGUACAGGAUAGGUAGGAGCCUACGAAGUCGGGACGCCAGUUUCGACUGAGGCGCUGUUGGGAUACUACCCUUGUGUUAUGGCUACUCUAACCCGGAUAGGUUAUCCCUAUCGGAGACAGUGUCUGACGGGCAGUUUGACUGGGGCGGUCGCCUCCUAAAAGGUAACGGAGGCGCCCAAAGGUUCCCUCAGAAUGGUUGGAAAUCAUUCGCAGAGUGUAAAGGUAUAAGGGAGCUUGACUGCGAGAGCUACAACUCGAGCAGGGACGAAAGUCGGGCUUAGUGAUCCGGUGGUUCCGUAUGGAAGGGCCAUCGCUCAACGGAUAAAAGCUACCCUGGGGAUAACAGGCUUAUCUCCCCCAAGAGUUCACAUCGACGGGGAGGUUUGGCACCUCGAUGUCGGCUCGUCGCAUCCUGGGGCUGUAGUCGGUCCCAAGGGUUGGGCUGUUCGCCCAUUAAAGCGGCACGCGAGCUGGGUUCAGAACGUCGUGAGACAGUUCGGUCCCUAUCCGUCGCGGGCGUAGGAAAUUUGAGAGGAUCUGCUCCUAGUACGAGAGGACCAGAGUGGACUUACCGCUGGUGUACCAGUUGUCUUGCCAAAGGCAUCGCUGGGUAGCUAUGUAGGGACGGGAUAAACGCUGAAAGCAUCUAAGUGUGAAACCCACCUCAAGAUGAGAUUUCCCAUAACUUUAUGUUAGUAAGAGCCCUGAGAGAUGAUCAGGUAGAUAGGUUGGAAGUGGAAGUGUGGCGACACAUGUAGCGGACCAAUACUAAUCGCUCGAGGACUUAUCCAA
Molecule: ribosomal RNA, 2106 nt
Filed under: Streptococcus suis
Lineage: Bacteria; Bacillati; Bacillota; Bacilli; Lactobacillales; Streptococcaceae
Description: bacterial LSU rRNA
Rfam family: Bacterial large subunit ribosomal RNA
Source: RNAcentral